This 321-nucleotide unclassified non-coding RNA is filed under the name uncultured fungus. Its description in RNAcentral is "partial contains small subunit ribosomal RNA, internal transcribed spacer 1, and 5.8S ribosomal RNA". The stretch from base 1 to 131 matches the Rfam family "Eukaryotic small subunit ribosomal RNA", at positions 1759 to 1831 of the family's 1831-position model. The record is from RNAcentral. Lineage: Eukaryota; Fungi.
GCAAACUUGGUCAUUUAGAGGAAGUAAAAGUCGUAACAAGGUUUCCGUAGGUAUGUGAUCGAAACCCCCCUUCCCCAGCGAUCGACUCGUUGCUAACUCUGAUUCCAGGUGAACCUGCGGAAGGAUCAUUACUAGUUUCGGGUACUCCGUGCCCAAACUUCAACCCUAUGAUUUACCCACCUGUUUCUUUGCCGGGUCACACCGGCAAAAGAUUUCUCCAAACUCAUGGCAGAAACCUGACUCGGAAGAAUCUUGAUUAAAAUCAAACGCAAAACUUUCAACAACGGAUCUCUUGGUUCUGGCAUCGAUGAAGAACGCAGC